GUCUGUGACCAUGCCACCCUGAACUUGCCUGAUCUCAUCUGAUCUCAGAAGCUAAGCAGGGUCAGGCCUGGUUAGUACUUGGAUGGGAGAAUAAUCUGUAUUUUGUUGUUUCUGUAU
Molecule: ribosomal RNA, 117 nt
Filed under: Neogale vison (American mink)
Lineage: Eukaryota; Metazoa; Chordata; Mammalia; Carnivora; Mustelidae
Source: RNAcentral